RNAcentral lists this long non-coding RNA (449 nucleotides) under Sus scrofa (pig). RNAcentral's name for it is "lncRNA (ENSSSCG00045023749.1)". The record is from RNAcentral. Lineage: Eukaryota; Metazoa; Chordata; Mammalia; Artiodactyla; Suidae.
CUCCUCCCCUCGGCGGCGUGACAGCCUCGGCCUGCCGGUCUCCCGGGUGGGCUGGGGGGCGGGCACAGGCACCCCGGCCACUUUGGAGGCUCGGGGAGAGGUUCGUAGAAGAGGCUGAGCGGACGGAGCGGAGGCGGUGCCAGGCGCCAGGCGUCCACCUGCGAGGAAGGCGCAGCGGCCGUGGGAGCCUGGGCGGCGGUGGCGGCAGCAUUGUGCUCCGAGCUGCAAGACCUGGAUUCAGAAUGCAGGCCAGGGAGGAGAUUCCAGAGUCCGGAUCCAGGUGGAAUGGAGGCCACAUUCACAGAGCGGGGGGUGGAGGGGGGCUGCUCUCCUCCCCCCCCCCCCCCCCCCCACGUAGAAGCAAGAAAAGAACGGAAAACUUCCCAGAGGCAUCCAGCAAAGGUGUCAAGGAAACAAGAGAGCAGGUCACAGCCACCAGCUCCCUGGGG